Tachyglossus aculeatus (Australian echidna) is the source of this 138-nucleotide small nucleolar RNA. NCBI's taxonomy places the organism in Eukaryota, Metazoa, Chordata, Mammalia, Monotremata, Tachyglossidae. The record is from RefSeq and is a predicted model, not a curated record.
CCCCUCUGAGGGUCACACCUGGAGAGUUUCUAGUGCUCUGCCAGUCUUGAUUACAGGAGGGAAAGUCAAGCAGAGGUAUAUCCAGUCCAUUCCUAGCUUGAGCAGUGGCUAGCGAGUGGAAGGCAAUAUUCUACAGAU